Molecule: microRNA precursor, 125 nt
Filed under: Brassica napus (rape)
Lineage: Eukaryota; Viridiplantae; Streptophyta; Magnoliopsida; Brassicales; Brassicaceae
Also listed under: 1 other name
Description: MIR9563 microRNA precursor family
Rfam family: MIR9563 microRNA precursor family
Source: Rfam by way of RNAcentral
GGAAUAUAAUAACCCGUCUCUUAACUUUUAACUAAAAAUGUUAAGAACCGACUCUUAAAACUCUUAUUUAAGAACCGGUUCUUACCUUUUUUAGUUAAAAGUUAAGAGACGGAUUCUUAUAUUCC